GCUUCCCGCGAGCACAUGUGCUCCGCAGUGACAUAUUUACCGUGUUGAUAGAUAUUGUGUGCGUUUAUUGUGUGCUUAUCGUACUUGACAUUCGUCGACUGGAUAUUUUGCGCGUUUCGGAACGUCCUCCCGCAAGUGGGGGAUGAUGCAUCGUCGUUCGUCGCCACUCGGAACAGCCUCAUCGGACGCGCAGCUUUGUCUCCGCGCUCAUAAGUGCUUCUUGCUUCGUUUAUCGAUUACUCACGUUAAUCGCGUGAUUCAAUAUCGAGUGUACCUCCAAAGACAAUCCACUUCCCAGUGUUGUGACAAGCGGCGACCGCGGUUGUACGGGAGCGGAAGCGUGAGCCUUUUGACGAGCGACUGUGAAGAAUGCAAAGCCAGUGCCAAACUUCGGAACCGAUAGCCCGGGCGGCGUGUUGGCACAGCGAGGAUAAUGAACGAGAGACCCGAUAGACAGCGAUGACAGCUGUUCACGGCACCGACACAGAGGACAGAUUGCAGUGCAAGAUAGGAGCGGUCUUCCUGCAAGCCCAGACAAGCCAUAUUGAGUGGUUUCAAAUACAGCAACUGUACCACCACGACAGUGCAGCACAAGAGACCCUAUCGUCAGAGCUGAGUCAGAAAUUAAAUAGAAAAGCGCUUUCUUCUGAAAUCUUUCGCCUGGUCUUAUUUCGUUUGUUUGUGAUUGCAAAAGAGCUCUUUCGUAGGAAAUACAAAAUUUAACUAGCCCCAUUUAUUGUCCUAUAGAAACUAAAUAGGUUGACAAUUUAGCGCUCGUUUACAAAUGCAUGUAUCAUAGACCUGCAAGAUUAUUGACUGGCUUUGAAAGACUGUUACGUGUAAAGAACAAUGGUGAUCUAGUCAUUGCUCGAAAUGGUCUGCUGGCGUUUAUGUGACAAUCGUCUAAAGCAUACACACUUUUGUAUUGUUAACCACAAAAAUAUUUAUUGACCUGUGUGCAGCAAACAUGCUGUUGCUGGCAUAAGGCCAAGGUCUGCAAUAUGGUGUUUAAUGUCAACCUAAUGCAUAUGUUCAAUUGCGUUUCACUAGACAACGGCCAUUAGAAACUCACGCAUUAGGACUCCAUAGACUAACGCUAGACAAUGGUCAUCGGAAACUCUAACGUCAUGACUCUAUAGACUAACGGUGGCCAAUUACUAUUAGACUCGCAUUAGGUGUGCAUUAGAAAGCGCAUUAGACUGGCAUUAGACAGUAUAAUGAUUCUUAUGUCUAAAGACAUUAGUCUGUCUAUUAAUACACAUUAAAUUUUUUCAU
Long non-coding RNA from Rhipicephalus sanguineus (brown dog tick), 1275 nucleotides. RefSeq lists it as uncharacterized. The transcript has 4 exons. The record is from RefSeq and is a predicted model, not a curated record. NCBI's taxonomy places the organism in Eukaryota, Metazoa, Arthropoda, Arachnida, Ixodida, Ixodidae.